RNAcentral lists this ribosomal RNA (839 nucleotides) under Panorpodes paradoxus. RNAcentral's name for it is "partial 16S rRNA". Lineage: Eukaryota; Metazoa; Arthropoda; Insecta; Mecoptera; Panorpodidae. The record is from RNAcentral.
GAAGGUGUAUCUAGAAAGACAAAUUAGAGCUUGAAAAGUAAAGCAUUUCAUUUACAUUGAAAAGUAUAUUGUGUGAUUCAAUUUAAUUUGAUAAUAAAAAUUUAUUAAUUUUUUUUUGUUUAAAAGUUUAUUUGAUAAAAUUAAUUUUAAAUUAAGUUUUUUUUUGUAUAGUAUAUAGAUUAAAUAAUUUAUAUAAUAGUUAAUUAGUAUUGUAAAAGAAUAUUGAAAUAUAUGAAAAAGUUUUAAAUUAAAAGUAAAUUUUAUAUAUUGUACCUUGUGUAUCAGGGUUUAUUAAUUAAAAGUUAAUAAAUUUAAUUUUUCUCGAAUUUAAGAGAGUUAAUUUAUUAUUUAAUUUUUUGUCUCAUAAAAAUUUAAAAUAAUAAGUUAGAAAUGAAAUGUUAUUCGUUCUUAAAUAUAUCUAGUUUUUUAAGAAAUAAAUUAAAUUUAGAUUAUUAAUAGAUAAUUAUUUAUUUAAAUAAUGAAUUAUUAUUAAUAAUUAAUAUUUUAAGGGAUAAGCUUUAAAGUAAGUUUUAUAAUAAUUUUUUAAUUUGAAAAUUAUAGGUUUAGAAAUAGUCAUUAAUUAUAAAAAUGUUAUAAUUUAUUUUAAAUUAAAAAUAAUUUUUAUUAAUUUAAGUUUUUAUUAAAAUAAUUUUUAAAAUUAUAUAAAAAUUAAAAUAAUGAUAAAAUUAGUAUAUUUAAUUGUUUUAAAUAAAUGAAUUGAAAGGUUAAAUUAAGGAACUUGGCAAAUAAAUACUCGCCUGUUUAACAAAAACAUGUCUUUUUGAAAAUAAUUUAAAGUCUAAUCUGCCCACUGAAAAAUUUUAAAGGGCCGCGGUAUU